RNAcentral lists this ribosomal RNA (439 nucleotides) under uncultured bacterium. RNAcentral describes it as "partial 16S ribosomal RNA". It matches the Rfam family "Bacterial small subunit ribosomal RNA", at positions 339 to 795 of the family's 1533-position model. The record is from RNAcentral.
CUACGGGGGGCUGCAAUGGGGAAUAUUGCACAAUGGGCGAAAGCCUGAUGCAGCAACGCCGCGUGGAGGAUGACACAUUUCGGUGCGUAAACUCCUUUUAUAUAAGAAGAUAAUGACGGUAUUAUAUGAAUAAGCACCGGCUAACUCCGUGCCAGCAGCCGCGGUAAUACGGGGGGUGCAAGCGUUACUCGGAAUCACUGGGCGUAAAGAGCAUGUAGGCUGGAUGACAAGUUGGAAGUGAAAUCCUAUGGCUUAACCAUAGAACUGCUUCCAAAACUGUCUUCCUAGAGUAUGGGAGAGGUAGAUGGAAUUUCUGGUGUAGGGGUAAAAUCCGUAGAGAUCAGAAGGAAUACCGAUUGCGAAGGCGAUCUACUGGAACAUUACUGACGCUCAGAUGCGAAAGCGUGGGGAGCAAACAGGAUUAGAUACCCGAGUAGUC